CAGCAGACACAUUCCAGCCAAUCAGCAGCAGACCCUCCCUCCCACCCUCCACCUCCUGGACAGCUCACUAAGAAUGCAGCUUCACAAUGAAUGUAAAAUGGAUGCUGUCCAGGAGGUGGGAGAGUCUGGGAGGGAGGGUCUGCUGCUGAUUGGCUGGAAUGUCUCUGCUG
Pelobates cultripes (western spadefoot toad) is the source of this 170-nucleotide non-coding RNA. The record is from the annotation of a GenBank genome assembly. NCBI's taxonomy places the organism in Eukaryota, Metazoa, Chordata, Amphibia, Anura, Pelobatidae.